GCAAAUUAUGAAUCAAUUAAAGAUGGGCGACAAAAGUGCAGGAUUCUCAGGUACUUUAUUUCAUGAGGAGAAUUCUUUUUCUAUGAAUGCAUGGAUAAUCGAUACGGGGGCUAGUGACCACAUAAUUUGUAGUGAGCAAUUUUUUUCCCAUGUCGAUAGACAAUCAGAACUUCCCAUAUCAGUGCGUCUUCCAAAUGGAAACGUCACUCAAGUUACCAAGAUCGGCACUGUUCACCUUGGUCCCCAUUUUGUCCUCAGAAAUGUCUUAUACAUUCCUGAUUUUGAAUUCAACCUACUUUUUGUCUCAAAAGUUUGCAUAGAUAGUUCCUGUCAUGCAAUAUUCAGCUACGACAAUUGUUUCUUUCAGGACCGUUCGAAUGGCACACUGAUGGGCUUGGGUAGUGUUGCACAAGGAUUAUACUACUGGAUUGAUUCCCUUAGUGUCACGCCCCGAUCCUUGGACGCGCGCACAUCCUUCUACUUGGUCGAUUUUAGAAUGCGAUAUCCCAGGACUAUGUAUCGCCGACCCUUUCUAGUUAUUAAGCACAUGCGGAAGCAGUUAUAAAUCCCUAGACAAUAAAACAAUGGGAUAGGAAAGUAGGCCAUAUUUUUCAUAUUGAAAUUCAUAACCACACUUUCAUUAACAGCACAACUCAUAGUAUAUUUACAAUACUAUUUACAACAUAAAAGUCUCACGCCUAUCUACACUAAGACAGGGUGCACAAAAGGGAUGGGAUCUCAAUCCACAUCUGGGUUGUACUCAAGAUCCCUCUCUGGAUCAUCUUCUACUUCAAAAUACUUUCUCCCCUUCAGGUUCCUCUUCCUUAGCUUCUCCUCAGGUUCCUGAAAUGGUUAUUCAAUAACUAAUGAGACCACGUCUCAGCGAGUCCUACCCUCUACGACUCGAUUAGUAAACUAAUACACCAUACGGUUGCCUAAGCACAACAUGAGUUAGAGGACUUACCUUAGCCUCAGUUCCAACCUGCAAUUCAAGGUUAAACACAGAUAUUCAAACAAUUCACGACAUCCGAUCAUGCAUUGAUCAAUCGACUAAGUCGAUUACAUGUCAGCCAGACCCUUUCUAGGUCAUUCCCACUCAUACCACGAAUUCCCAGUGGUGUACUCAUUCACCAAAUCACAUGUGUUUCUCGGGCGUCGUUUUCGCCAAUGACAUACCGAUCACCGACACCGUGCGUUCUUUAAGGCGCCGUUUUCACCAGUGAUAACCUUGAUCACCGAACCACGUGUCCUUUCAAGGGUGCCGUUUUCGCCAAGGUGACAUCGGCUAUAGACAACAUCGUGCGUUCUUUAAGGCGCCGUUUUCACUAGUGAUAUUCCCAUAACCACCGAACCACGUUUGUCUAUAAGUCAUUUACGUGCGUUCUUUAAGGCGCCGUUUUCGCCAGUGAUACUUCCAAUCACCGAACCACGUAUGUCCAAUAACAUCGUACCUGAUUGGUCUCAGCCAAUAACAUUCUCAGUUAGCUCUCACCGUUCUCCCUACUAUAUAGCCCAUCAACGUACUGGCACUAUAUACCCAUAUUCGGCCAACAACCAAUCAAAUAUUCAAUAACAAACAAUUUAGGGAAAUUCCUAAAAUUCCACAAUAAAUUCAAUUCCACACAACGUAGAGCUCAAAUAAAUAAACGGUCUGCACCACGACAAUCGGCACGAAAUUCCGGUCACCGGCCAUCCCGGUUGAAUUUCCGGAAAAAUAAUUAAUUAAUUAAAUAAAUUUCGAAAAUAAAUAAAUAAACAUUAAAAAAUCCAAUUUAGGCCCAUAUUGCCUGAUUGGAGCCCGAAACGGGUCGGGAAAAAUCCCGAGAUGCAUUCAAUAAAUAACCAAACAUUUCUACUUGCUAAUAGCUAGGUCUAACCACCUAACAUGCAUUAUUAAGUCACUAAAUUAAUUGUUCUAACCUAAUCUAACCACCUAAUUGCAAUUAAUUAAAUCUAACCAACCCUAAGACAUAAUUAGCAAACUAAUAAAUCAUUAGUGAGUAAAACUCACUUGGUAAAACGAAGAUCGAAAACCGCGACGGCGGCCGAAUUCCAAAAUUUCGGCGGCGACGAUAGACACUCGAGCCGGGCCUACAAGCCUCGCAAGCCCACAACAAAAGCUAGCCUUGGGCUGACUUGCUUCACGGGCCCAAGACGGGCUGAACUUGCUGGGCCUCGCUGAAAUACAAAUGAUGUUGGACUCGACACUCGGGCUGAGAUGGGCUUGAAACAAAACUGAACUAGGCUUCGAGAUAUGGGCUGGACUUCAAUUGCUUUGCUGGAAAUUGGGCUUGGCCAAUUAAUUCACGUGAACUGGGCUGGGCUGGGCUUGAAAUGGCCCUCAGCUGGACUGAACUUUACUGGGCCCAAAUGAUUGAAAGUGUUGGGCUAAGGGCAGGCUGCUGGAGAAGACCGAAGACUGUUGGAGCUGGUGUCACGCGUGGGCUGGGCAGCUGCGGUUGGCCCACGAACUGGAGAAACAGCUGCUGGCAUGCACUGGAAUCUUCGAGCUUCGCUGGCAACAAGGGGACGAGAUGCAGCUUCGCUCGGUGGGGGAUUUCUUCGGUCAAUCUUCAGCGAUUUUCAGCUGGGUCUUGACCGGUGAAAUGGACUGAAAUGUGGCAGAGAUGGGGAGAAGCUGUUGGCGUCGAUGGACGUGGGAAGAAGACGCAACGUGGUUUCGCUGGAGUCUUCAAUUCGCUUAAGUCCACGGACGUGAGUCUUCUUCAGUGGAAGGCCUCGCGCGGCUGAAGAAGAAGAGGCGUGGAUGAAGAGUCUUCAGUGGCAGCUGCAGCUUCAUUGGACGUGGCUGCUUGAAGAUUGUAGGUGGACGUGGCAGCGGCAGGAAUUGCUCAGUCAACCAAGGAAUUCGGUGACUUGCUGGUUGACCGAGAGAGCGCAGACGUUGGACGGGUGGCAAGGAGAUUUCGGUGGAGAUGGGGGGUGUCCGCUGGCGUUGAUGCUGAGUCGUGGAUGAAGAAGCCGCUUGGGGUUUCGGUGAGUGGAGGUUUCACGGUCAACACCAGCUUCGCUGGUUGACCGAACUGAAUGAAUUAGUUCGGUGGGUGGAGCUACAGGGAAUCAUGGCCUAAAGUGGAGAAGCGGACGAAGGUGCGGCAGCUUGGGGAGAAAACUCGGUGAACUUGUUUCGCGGCUUCAGUGGAGAAAGAUGGAGUCUUCGCUGGGGGGAGAAGUUGAGGACGAAGGGAGAGAGAGAUCUUCGGGCGUGUGGCUGGUUU
Molecule: long non-coding RNA, 3239 nt
Filed under: Eucalyptus grandis
Lineage: Eukaryota; Viridiplantae; Streptophyta; Magnoliopsida; Myrtales; Myrtaceae
Description: long non-coding RNA (EGRA_LNC002362)
Source: RNAcentral